This 658-nucleotide ribosomal RNA is filed under the name Obelia sp. CLAetal17. RNAcentral's name for it is "partial large subunit ribosomal RNA". It matches the Rfam family "Bacterial large subunit ribosomal RNA", at positions 1800 to 2643 of the family's 2925-position model. Lineage: Eukaryota; Metazoa; Cnidaria; Hydrozoa; Leptothecata; Obeliidae. The record is from RNAcentral.
CUGUUUACCAAAGACAUAGCCCUAGAAAUAAUCUAAGGUGUAACCUGCCCAGUGGUUUUAAAUAUAUAGUAGAAAAAAUUAAAAAUAAAACUAAAAGGACGCGGUAACCUUGACCGUGAUAAUGUAGCAUAAUCACUCGCCAUUUAAUUGAUGGAUAGUAUGAAUGGUUGAACGAAUAUUACACUGUCUUAAAGAGAAUUACAAGAAAUUGAAGUAAUAGUUAAGAUGCUAUUUAAAACUGUAAGACGAAAAGACCCUAUAGAGCUUAACUAUAGCCUCUUUACUUAAUAAGAAAAAUGAUUUUCUUAAAUAAAGAGGUUGGUAGUUUAGUUGGGGCGACUGUCUUCUAAAAUUAACGAAGACAAGCGAUGUUAAUAGAAAACUUAUUGUAUAAUGAAUUUAUUUAACAAUUAUUAAAGUAGGCUAUAUUGACCCGUUUUUACUACAAAACAAGGAAAAACGAUCAAUUGAUAAAAGCUACCUUAGGGAUAACAGGAUAAUUUCAUUUUAGAGCUCAUAUCGAAAAUGAAGUUUGUCACCUCUAUGUUGAAUUAAGAUAUCCUGGUAAUGCAGCAGUUACCAAAGGUAGGUCUGUUCGACCUUUAAAAUCUUACAUGAUUUGAGUUCAUUCCGUCGCAAGACAGGAAGGUUUCUAUCU